GCCAUAGAAGGUCUGGAGAAAGCUGGUUUUCAUAUUUUUACAUCAUAUCAAGAAUCAAAAGAAGAACGAGGAAAAGAAAAAGUUGCGAAUAGUCCCUAAAUUUCAAUAUCUUCUACAAAUUAGCCGGAUUGACUUGAAGUGAAGUGGGUAGAUCGGAUCAACACAACAAAGCACACUAUCCAGAUCAAUUCCGGUAGCUUUUGUUUUAUGUUUGAAGAUUUAUAUGGCAUGUAUAGAGUUUAAAUGAAAUGAAGUAAAGAUGUUAUAAACUAGUUAACAACAUUUUGUACUAAAAUAGUUUUUGGUUAGUAGCAGUAGUCUGAGUUUGAAAA
Gossypium arboreum is the source of this 332-nucleotide long non-coding RNA. RefSeq lists it as uncharacterized. The record is from RefSeq and is a predicted model, not a curated record. The transcript has 2 exons. NCBI's taxonomy places the organism in Eukaryota, Viridiplantae, Streptophyta, Magnoliopsida, Malvales, Malvaceae.